Molecule: long non-coding RNA, 1694 nt
Organism: Equus caballus (horse)
Lineage: Eukaryota; Metazoa; Chordata; Mammalia; Perissodactyla; Equidae
Source: RefSeq, a predicted model, not a curated record
ACUUAACCACUGCGCCACCAGGCCGGCCCACAGUACAGUAUUAACUAUAGUCACCAUGCGGUGCAGUAUAUCCCCAGGACAUAUUUAUCUUAUAAUUGGACGUUUGUACCUUUUGUCUACCUUCACUCACCUCGCCCACCCCCAACCAUUGUAUUUUAAUGUGGGACAAAAGGAAACUUGCCCGGCAGGGAGGGGCUAUAAAGCCUGAGGGUCACUCUCCCGCCCGAACUCCGUGGGUCGUUAGGUCUUCUGGGAAGGCACCUCCCCUCGCUCUCCAAGAUGGGGAGGGCCAAGAGCACCCCGGUACUCCUGGUAGUGGGAGUGGGGCGUUGUGCGCUAUGAGCUGUCAGCAAAGUCGGGCCUUACUGGUCGCUAGCAGUCGUGUACUCUUAUAAAUUUAAAGUGGCUUGCUGGCUCAAAGGCUGAACGACUUUUUAAAAAGUAGUGUCCUGCGCGCGCCGCCUCCUGGGGAGACGCUGGGGAGCCGCCCUCUCCGCGCCUCCAGGGCCGGGGCCCAAGAAGUGACCCUGCGCAGUGGUGGCCAAAGGUAUCCUGAGGAGUCCAGCUCAUUAGGCCCGCAGCCUGGCAGGGAUGCGCGCAGAGGCCCUGGAGGCGGACGGACCCGGGUGACAACAGCGCGAUCGCCUGUGCCGCGCGGGUUCCGGGGCGCAAGCCGCUCAGGUGCUGCGCGGGCGUUGCGUCCACCACCGGCUCAGACGGAACAAGCGCACUCCGGGAAAUGGCGACGCGAGGGGAGCCACGAGCUGCGGGCGCUUGUUCAACAAAUUGCGAGGCCGUGCGUUCCUCCCGGAGGAGUCAUAAGUCGAUACCUUGAGCCCCGAGUUUGGCGAAAGCAAACGGUUCUUCCCGGAGCACCCUUGAACAUAAGUCACAUGAACAUGCGUCAGUGUUCUUCAGGAGAAAUACCUAGAGGUCACUGCAAAUUGUCCUUCAAUGUCCACUUCCAGGACAAGGCACAAGCUACUUGCCUGCCUACAUUGUGUCACUGACAGAAAAUAUCAAACUUUUAAAGUUUCAGCCAAUCUGACAGGGGAGAAAUGGGUUCUUAUUGUUAUGAUUUGCAUUUCCCAGUCUCUGCAGAGACGAAUACCUUUCUGUAUGGAUAACUAUUUUUGUGUUGGUGGCAGCCAGCAUCCAAGAUGCCCCUAUCCCGUGGUCUGCUGCUCACACCCACACUGUACCAGGAUCGGUCUGUGUGACCAACAGCUUAGGGCAACGGGGUGGUGUAUUUCUUCCAGGACUAGGUUAUAAGAGGCUGUGGCUUUGCUUUUGCGGCUCUCUCCCUGUCUCAUCACUUGCUCUGGGGAAGCCAAUUUCAACAUCAUGAGGGAGGGCCUUGUGGCCAGGAACUGAAGCCUCCAGCCAGCGGCCGAGGACCAGCUUGGCGUGAGUCUUCUAGACCCGGGCAAGCCUCAUGACUGCAGCUCCUGCCCGUGGUUCAGAUGCAGCCCCCGAGAGACCCUGAGCCAGAACCACCCGCUAAGCCGCUCCCACGUUCCUGAUCCUCGGACACUCAGAUAACAGGUGUCUGUUGUUUGAAGCCUCUUGUUAUACAUAUGGCAACAGAUAGUGAAUACGUUGUCUUCUUAUCUGCUUGUUAGUUUUUAGGAGCUUUGUACACCUUUUGGAUAUUAAUAAUUUCUUAUAUAAAAUGAGAAUUUUUCACAAAUGUA